RNAcentral lists this long non-coding RNA (476 nucleotides) under Homo sapiens (human). Its description in RNAcentral is "HSALNT0376868". Lineage: Eukaryota; Metazoa; Chordata; Mammalia; Primates; Hominidae. The record is from RNAcentral.
AGUGCAGGCACAGCCACCGUGACUCUCUGCUGGGAGGUUAACAGCUCCAUCAGUUCAGGGACUGCCUGACCCAGCCUGACCAAAUUAGAGAGAAAGAAUUGUGCCAUGAAAAAUGGAAAACUCCUGAGAAGCUGUUCCAGCGUCAGGAGAGCAGCAGACAAGCUGGACUGGGGAAGAUUCUUCCUGCAAGACCUGCAGAGUGUAUGACACAUAACCAGCACCCAAGAAAUGUCUACCGAGGAAUUAAUGAAUGAGGGUCCCAUACUUCCUAGCCAUGCUGUUGGCAGGGAUUAACAUCAUUGCAAUUCUCUGGGUAGACCUUGGGAGGUUUAAACCAACCAGUGACCCCUAUCAUCCUAGCUCCAGAGAUUGGCUUAGGGAUAGUCACCCAAUGCAGGCCAAUGCAAGGUGACUUUGCCAGGGGCUUCUGGGAAAGAAGUUUCCUUUCUCUGAGGAAAUGUGAAUGAGGACAUCCA